GCUGAUAUAAAUAUAAAAAUAGGUAAACAUCGCAUGGUGUUUGUUUCAACAUUUAAUUAACAAUUUUUUUUUAGCAAAUUAACAAUAUCCCGAGCUAGACUAUGAUUUCUUGUUUUGCACAACUUUCCUAGAAAAAUAAUAAUGGUCGUGUGCAUCUUCUAAACUUGCAUCUUGACUUGUAGCUUCAUUCUUCACAAAACAACUCUAAAAUUAACCAAGGGUUAUCCAGAAUAUCAACAAGCUGCAAGAACAUAAGAAAAAUUUAUUACGAAAACUUUGAUGAGAUGCAUUCACCAAGAAUCCAAAUCUAUACCGAAAGCACAAAUUCAGUGACAUAAGCUAGCACAAAUGGAGAAAUUCUCCACCAAGAAGAUUAUAUUAUGUUUUAGGGGAAACAAGUUGUUGCAGAGUAACUAAACAAGCAUGAUAUAUCACUGUUUCAUAUAUAAACUAGCAGGUUAUUAUUGUAGCAGGGGAAACAAACAAGCUAUCACUGUUUUCUUCUCAUCAUUAAUCCUUGUAGGAGCCAAACAGUCUCAAACUGUGUGCCUUCAAUUGUAUGUGUAGAAGAUUAGAAAAAUAGAGAUAAAGAAGGCAAUGAUCUGUUAAGCAAUUCUAAUGAUACAGAUUUAGCGAGUUACUUGAUCCUCUAAACCAGAUCAAGGUGCAACUCAAAUCUCUGUUUUGCUGGACUUUAGGCCAAGAGAUUCUUUAUAUGGAUGGGAAACUUGAUGUACAGUAGCAACAGAUAUCAAAAAAUUCUAUUAAUAACCCUGAGAGUGAUGUCAAAGUUCUUCCUGCAUUGAUAAAAGUCUAUUCAAAAGGGAUAAGUCUUAUAGGGGCUGAGAAAUUCUGUAUACGGAUAGGAUGUUGUUACUGUGAGGCUACAAUGUUGUUACUGCUUCUUUCUUGACAUUUUUAUCUUGUAAUCUUAUUCUUAGUGGACAAAGCAGAAUUUAUAUAUGGUUGAGUGUAUAUAGGGGCCGAGAGAUUCUGUAUAUGGUUGAGUGUAAUGACUCUGUUACUUAUAUAUGCUAGCACACAAGAAGCAACAAUUUCGAAGACAUCUAAAAGGCUAAAACUGAAUGCGUAUCAGUUUUUCAAAUUUUGUCUAGAGAAGAUACGACGCAAACAUUAAAAUAACUCGGAACAACUGAAGCAUUUCAGAGGUGGUAGCUAUUACUACUGUUGUAGCUGCUAAAAGGCUAAAACUGAAUGCAAAUCAGUUUUUCAAUUUCUAUCUAGAGAAGAAACGACACAAACAUUAAAAUAACUCGGAACAUAUGUAUAAAAUAACUUUGUUUUAUCAACAAAAUCGGCAGUAUCCCAGCAUAUGUAUAAGGAUUUAUAUAUGUAUAACUCUUUUGUUCUCCAUAGAGUGUAUUGGUCACAUAUUUUUGUCCUGCCAACAAAAGUGAUAAAACUCAUUGAACAAACAUGUAAAACCUUUAUGUGGACAGGUGGAGUGGAAGUCACAAAGAAAGCAAUGAUAGCAUGGGAUAAAGUGUGUAUGCAUAAAACAUCAGGUGGACUUAAUAUUCUAGGCAUUACUGUUGGAAUAGAACAGCAAUUCUUAAACUACUAUGGAGUUUAUGUUGCAAAAAGUACAAUUAAUGGGUGAAGAAAUUCCUUUAAGCAUGAUCAAUCAUCUAAGAGUUCAGCCAUACACUAAAUGCUUAAAUGACUAUCUGCAAAUAGAAUUUGGUAAAUUGGUACUUACUUGGUCAGCAAAACCAGUGUGGGCAGCUCCUCCAUCAAUCAUCUCACGAGUUCCUAAUUUUGUUUUACAACAUUUGUAACAUGGACAUUGUAUUUUAUCUUCUUCCCUUGAUCCCUGAAAAUCAUAAUCCAAAAACUUUUUCAC
Molecule: long non-coding RNA, 1864 nt
Filed under: Solanum tuberosum (potato)
Lineage: Eukaryota; Viridiplantae; Streptophyta; Magnoliopsida; Solanales; Solanaceae
Description: long non-coding RNA (STUB_LNC008997)
Source: RNAcentral